GAUGAACGCUGGCGGCGUGCCUAAUACAUGCAAGUCGAGCGAACAGACGAGGAGCUUGCUCCUCUGACGUUAGCGGCGGACGGGUGAGUAACACGUGGAUAACCUACCUAUAAGACUGGGAUAACUUCGGGAAACAGGAGCUAAUACCGGAUAACAUGAUGAACCGCAUGGUUCAACAGUGAAAGACGGUCUUGCUGUCACUUAUAGAUGGAUCCGCGCCGCAUUAGCUAGUUGGUAAGGUAACGGCUUACCAAGGCAACGAUGCGUAGCCGACCUGAGAGGGUGAUCGGCCACACUGGAACUGAGACACGGUCCAGACUCCUACGGGAGGCAGCAGUAGGGAAUCUUCCGCAAUGGGCGAAAGCCUGACGGAGCAACGCCGCGUGAGUGAAGAAGGUCUUCGGAUCGUAAAACUCUGUUAUUAGGGAAGAACAAAUGUGUAAGUAACUAUGCACGUCUUGACGGUACCUAAUCAGAAAGCCACGGCUAACUUCGUG
Molecule: ribosomal RNA, 497 nt
Filed under: uncultured bacterium
Lineage: Bacteria
Description: partial 16S ribosomal RNA
Rfam family: Bacterial small subunit ribosomal RNA
Source: RNAcentral